CAAUAAGCGGAGGAAAAGAUACUAACAGUAUUCCCGUAGUAGCGGCGAGCGAAUGGGGACUUGCAAGUUCAAUGCUAAAUCUGAGGGUCUUUGUACCGUACGAGCUGUAGCGUUGAUGAGACUCCGCCAAAGGUCUGUGUUAUAGAGCUUACUAAAGUAUUUCAUGAACGGGUCACAUAUCCAUAGAGGGUGACAGACCCGUAGAGUAGGUUCGCAAACACAUUGACUUGGAGCAUCUCAGACGAGUCGAGUUGCUUGAGAGUGCAACUCAAAUUGGGUGGUAAACUUCACCUAAGACUAAAAAUGACCACGAGACCGAUAGAGAACAAGUACCGUGAGGGAAAGUUGAAAAGAACUCUGAAGAGAGAGUUCAAGAGUACGUGAAACCGUUUAGAGGUAAGCCUAAGGGACUGAACGCUAUCACUAUGUAGAUUCAAACGUGUGCUAGUUCCCGAACAUGAUCGUCACUUGUCGCCUCGGCUUCGGCUGUGUUUGCGAGGUGUCGUGUCUGUUCGACAGUGUUCUGCACACGGCUGCAACUCUAUAAGUGCGAUGGUAUCGUAGUACGUUGACGACCUAACAUGGCCAGGCGCCAAGUCCUUACACUGCUCAUAUGUUUACAUGUGAGUUUUUGUGUGUGGAUGCUUGUGCUGUACGUUAGUGUGUAUCGACGGUAAAUGAGAUAGAGUAUACGAACUAUGGCUCGUCCAUGCCUACAUUGUUAGGCGUUCUAUACGCGCAAUAAUAUCGAUACUAGUUUAAGUACCCUAAGGACCCGUCUUGAAACACGGACCAAGGAGUCCAGCACUACAGCGAGUCAUUGGGACCUACAAAGCCUAUUGACGCAAUGAAAUUAACUUUAUACACUGAAUUAGUUGUGUGCCCAUGUGGCAUGCUACGCAGUAAAGAGGUGUCUCAAGCUCAUUGCGAGCUGGGAUGCACUUAGAGUUGUAGUGCUGGCACCCGAAAGAUGGUGAACUAUGCCUGAUGAGAACGAAGUCAGGAGAAAUUCUGAUGGAAGUUCGCAGCAGUUCUGACGUGCAAAUCGAUUGUCAGACUUGGGUAUAGGGACGAAAGGCCAAUCGAACCGUCUAGUAGCUGGUUCCUUUCGAAGUUUCCCUUAGGAUAGCUGGCACUAGCCGAGAUUAGUUUUAUCUGGUAAAGCGAAUGAUUAGAGGCAUUGGGACCGAAACGGUCUCAACCCAUUCUCAAACUUUAAAUGGGUAAGAACUAUAGCUUAUUUGAUACAUAAAGCUAUAGAUCAAUUAGAAUGAUAGUGCCUAGUGGGCCACUUUUGGUAAGCAGAACUGGCGCUGUGGGAUGAACCAAACGUAAAGUUAAAGCGCCUAAACAACGCCUAUGAGAUACCAUGAAAGGUGUUGGUAACUAUAGACAGCAGGAGGGUGGCCAUGGAAGUUGGAACCCGCUAAGGAGUGUGUAACAACUCACCUGCCAAAGUUACUAGCCCUGAAAAUGGAUGGCGCUCAAGCGUUGUGCUUAUACUUUACCGUUAACGAGUGUAGUAUCCCAAUCAUACACAGAAUCGUUAACGAGUAGAAAGGUGUGGUAGAAGGCGUUGAAGGGUCUGCGUAAGCUGGCCUGGAGCUUCUAGUAGUACAGAUCUUGGUGGUAGUAGCAAGUACUUCAGCGAGAUUCUGGAGGACUGUGCUGGAGAAGGGUUUCGUGUGAACAGAAGUUGGACACGAGUUAGUCGGUCCUAAGCUAAAAGCAAACGCUUAAUAAUAGUAUUCUAUGUAUAUAACAUUACUUAAAAUACUUAAGGCAAAAGGGAAUAUGGUUAAUAUUCCAUAACCAGUGCACGUAACCGUACGCAAGCUAUUAUAUCUUGUUCGGGGUAACCUAACAUACCUUGGAGACGUCGUCAAGAGAUCUGGGAAGAGUUUGCUUUUCUCUGUAAGCGCCCGGGGACCAUGGAAUCUUUUAAAAAGGAGAUAUGGUUUGGGGCUGCGAAGAGCAUCGCAGUUGCUGCGGUGUCCAGAUCCUCUUUUCGACAAGUAAAAAUCCAAGCGCAGGCUACGUCGGAAUCGUGCUAGUCCGUACCAAUAUCCGCAUCAGGUCUCCUAGGUUUACAACCUAUAGUUAGUAGAAUA
Molecule: ribosomal RNA, 2111 nt
Filed under: Cybocephalus sp. MJM-2013
Lineage: Eukaryota; Metazoa; Arthropoda; Insecta; Coleoptera; Nitidulidae
Description: eukaryotic LSU rRNA
Rfam family: Eukaryotic large subunit ribosomal RNA
Source: RNAcentral